AAAAAAGCUAUGGAGGAUUACCACCUGCAUCGUCGAGGAAGAAGAUUGGCCAGGCAUAGAUCUGAAUUUUGUAAGGUGAUGGAGAAGCAAUGGACAUCAAUGGUGAGUUUAGAGGCAAUAGAUUCCAUGCCAUUAGAGAAAGAGAAAGAGAGAGAAAUAAUCGCACAUUUCUGAGAUCGAUUGAUAUUGAUGAAUUCUCCUCAAUUAGAUUGAAGGUACAAGGAGAAGAAACUCAAUUAGAUUGAAGGAUAAAACAGUCAUCCAUAUAAUAUAAAAGUAUCUAAAUUUGUAAGGAACAUGAGAUGUUCCUAUAUCUACAAAAGCACAGACUUUAAUAUGCUAAUCCCAUAAUUGAUCCCUUAAUUGUGUGUGUAUUCAAAAUAAGCCCACUUCUUAUAGGCAAUGUAACACUUGACUCAAAAGCCAAAGCAGCCACUUAAAUAGUUAAGUUACAUUAAACAGAGAAGCAGCCUUCCCUAAGUUAAGCAUUCUUAAUCUAACCAAAUAUAAUUCAUAUCUAACAAUGUUAACUUCUCUUUCUAUUCUUAAUAAUAACCUAACAAAUUAACUUGGGUGGUGUACUAUUCUGAGUUUGUUACUUGUCUUGUCCAUGCACGGCUAGUGCUGGUGCUGUCUUAGAAGGGCUUGAAGGUACGUGGCUGUUGAUACAGAAAAUGUUUAAAGAGGAGACAAGUCUUUGUCAAAGUUUGCGGAUGACGGCUAUGAAAUCGAA
This 733-nucleotide small RNA is filed under the name Arabidopsis thaliana (thale cress). Its description in RNAcentral is "ATSL073300". The record is from RNAcentral. Lineage: Eukaryota; Viridiplantae; Streptophyta; Magnoliopsida; Brassicales; Brassicaceae.